This is a long non-coding RNA of Ornithorhynchus anatinus (platypus), 732 nucleotides long. RefSeq lists it as uncharacterized. The transcript is spliced from 4 exons. NCBI's taxonomy places the organism in Eukaryota, Metazoa, Chordata, Mammalia, Monotremata, Ornithorhynchidae. The record is from RefSeq and is a predicted model, not a curated record.
GCCAUACUGGACCAUUUCCAAGGCCUCCCACCCACUGCGCUUUGUUGUCUCGGACGGUGGGAAGCGGGGAGGACAGGCUGCCACUAAGAGGCUCCCGGUGGGCUCUGAAAUUCCAGACGGAGCCAAGCCCUAUCUUGAGGCCACCGGCUCUCCAAGAUGGCACUGACUGAUGGCGUACUGUAGCCGAGCUUGAUGUUCAUCUUGAUCCACGACUUCUAAAUCACCUGUGAAAAUAAACACUGCUCCAAGAACCAGGGGUUGAAACGAAAUCCGCAGGGCCUGGGAGAUACCGGCAAGCAGGCUGAUGAACUGGCGGCAUUGGGAAAACUGGGAGGAGGCUUUACGAACUCCGCUGCCUAAAAGAGACGCUCAAGACUGAGGGGGUCUUGAAAACGCCUUAGAAGGCUGACUUGAAGUUGUAGGCGAGUCUUGCAGAGCCUGCCCUUGCUGAUUAGAACUCGGACCCCCCUCCUUCGCUUGCUUGCUGGGCUACAGCUACGCGAGACGUGAGUGUCUGGUCUUCGGCUCGUCGUCGCCUGAUCUAAAGAACUCGGGCUCUGGGCCGACAGGAGGAGGACAGCGUUGAGGAAACCCUGAAAGCCACAGGAUGGAGGCUUUUCUCCUUCUGGCUCGGCGGCCCUUCCUUCCUCAGAGGCUGGCCCAGUCCGAGCUCCCUUCUGUGGGGGUGAGGGAGGGGGAAGCGCUGAAAUAAAAUGUAUAAUUGUGCUCCAA